RNAcentral lists this small RNA (110 nucleotides) under Tupaia belangeri (northern tree shrew). Its description in RNAcentral is "7SK RNA (ENSTBEG00000021159.1)". It matches the Rfam family "7SK RNA", at positions 1 to 108 of the family's 331-position model. From Rfam's summary of the family: 7SK was discovered as an abundant small nuclear RNA in the mid-70s but a possible function has only recently been suggested. Two independent studies have found that 7SK RNA binds the CDK9/cyclin T complex (known as elongation factor P-TEFb). P-TEFb activates transcription by phosphorylating the C-terminal domain of RNA polymerase II. Lineage: Eukaryota; Metazoa; Chordata; Mammalia; Scandentia; Tupaiidae. The record is from RNAcentral.
GGAUAUGAGGAUGAUCUGACUGUGACAUCUGUCACGUUAGCGACUGCCAGGGUUGGUUUGGCCGAUGCGGCUGGCUAGGCAGCUGUCCCCUUUUCCUUUCUCACUACUCC